UGGCGAACGGGUGAGUAACGCGUGAGGAACCUGCCUCAAAGAGGGGACGAACAGUUGGAAACGACUGCUAAUACCGCAUAAGCCCACGGGUCGGCAUCGACCUGAGGGAAAAGGAGCAAUCCGCUUUGAGAUGGCCUCGCGUCCGAUUAGCUAGUUGGUGAGGUAACGGCCCACCAAGGCGACGAUCGGUAGCCGGACUGAGAGGUUGAACGGCCACAUUGGGACUGAGACACGGCCCAG
This 240-nucleotide ribosomal RNA is filed under the name uncultured bacterium. Its description in RNAcentral is "partial 16S ribosomal RNA". It matches the Rfam family "Bacterial small subunit ribosomal RNA", at positions 96 to 334 of the family's 1533-position model. The record is from RNAcentral.